UCAUCGAAGAUCAGAAGAGGAGGCAGAUUCUCGUGAAGGAUCAGAGAGACGACAGAGCCAGAGUCCUUGCUGUAGAGUGGGAAGUGGGGAAAGCAAAGAUCAUUGCCGAGAGAGAUCAUUACAUGGCUGAGAGAGAUCAUUACUUCAGGCAGAUGAAGAUCCAUCAGAAGGAGGUGGGGAGAUUACAGCAGGAGAACACCGAGCUCAGGUUCGCCGCAGAAUUCGCGAAGAUGGAAGCUGAGAUAUGGCCAUCUGUGGGACCCUCAUCAGGAUAGCUUUUCAUUUGUGUUGGAUUACCGUCAGGCUUGUUGACGGAAUUCAUUUUGCUUGUAUUUCUUUCCCGAUUCUAGAGAUUUGUAUCUGAUUUGAUGUAUGACUAUGGCACUUAUUGUGCAUUUUGCUAUGUAAUGGUUUGUUUUCAUUCA
RNAcentral lists this long non-coding RNA (425 nucleotides) under Lathyrus oleraceus (garden pea). Its description in RNAcentral is "Pisum sativum (pea) long non-coding RNA (PSAT_LNC010851)". Lineage: Eukaryota; Viridiplantae; Streptophyta; Magnoliopsida; Fabales; Fabaceae. The record is from RNAcentral.